Molecule: ribosomal RNA, 460 nt
Filed under: uncultured bacterium
Lineage: Bacteria
Description: partial 16S ribosomal RNA
Rfam family: Bacterial small subunit ribosomal RNA
Source: RNAcentral
CCUACGGGAGGCAGCAGUGAGGACUAUUGGUCAAUGGACGAGAUUCUGAACCAGCCAAGUAGCGUGAAGGAUGACUGCCCUAUGGGUUGUACACUUCUUUUAUAAAGGAAUAAAACGAGGCACGUGUGCCUUUUUGCAUGUACUUUAUGUAUAAGGAUCGGCUAACUCCGUGCCAGCAGCCGCGGUAAUACGGAGGAUCCGAGCGUUAUCCGGUUUUAUUGGGUUUAAAGGGAGCGUAGAUGGGUUGUUAAGUCAGUUGUGAAAGUUUGCGGCUCAACCGUAAAAUUGCAAUUGAUACUGGCAGUCUUGAGUACAGUAGAGGUAGGCGGAAUUCGUGGUGUAGCGGUGAAAUGCUUAGAUAUCACGAAGAACCCCGAUUGCGAAGGCAGCUUACUAAACUGUGACUGACAUUGAGGCUCGAAAGUGUGGGUAUCAAACAGGAUUAGAUACCCUGGUAGUC